Molecule: ribosomal RNA, 662 nt
Filed under: uncultured Staphylococcus sp.
Lineage: Bacteria; Bacillati; Bacillota; Bacilli; Caryophanales; Staphylococcaceae
Description: bacterial SSU rRNA
Rfam family: Bacterial small subunit ribosomal RNA
Source: RNAcentral
GUCGAGCGAACAGACGAGGAGCUUGCUCCUCUGACGUUAGCGGCGGACGGGUGAGUAACACGUGGAUAACCUACCUAUAUGACUGGGAUAACUUCGGGAAACCGGAGCUAAUACCGGAUAAUAUAUUGAACCGCAUGGUUCAAUAGUGAAAGACGGUUUUGCUGUCACUUAUAGAUGGAUCCGCGCCGCAUUAGCUAGUUGGUAAGGUAACGGCUUACCAAGGCGACGAUGCGUAGCCGACCUGAGAGGGUGAUCGGCCACACUGGAACUGAGACACGGUCCAGACUCCUACGGGAGGCAGCAGUAGGGAAUCUUCCGCAAUGGGCGAAAGCCUGACGGAGCAACGCCGCGUGAGUGAUGAAGGUCUUCGGAUCGUAAAACUCUGUUAUUAGGGAAGAACAAAUGUGUAAGUAACUAUGCACGUCUUGACGGUACCUAAUCAGAAAGCCACGGCUAACUACGUGCCAGCAGCCGCGGUAAUACGUAGGUGGCAAGCGUUAUCCGGAAUUAUUGGGCGUAAAGCGCGCGUAGGCGGUUUUUUAAGUCUGAUGUGAAAGCCCACGGCUCAACCGUGGAGGGUCAUUGGAAACUGGAAAACUUGAGUGCAGAAGAGGAAAGUGGAAUUCCAUGUGUAGCGGUGAAAUGCGCAGAGAUAUGGAGGA